Molecule: ribosomal RNA, 497 nt
Filed under: uncultured bacterium
Lineage: Bacteria
Description: partial 16S ribosomal RNA
Rfam family: Bacterial small subunit ribosomal RNA
Source: RNAcentral
GAUGAACGCUGGCGGCGUGCCUAAUACAUGCAAGUCGAGCGAACGGACGAGAAGCUUGCUUCUCUGAUGUUAGCGGCGGACGGGUGAGUAACACGUGGAUAACCUACCUAUAAGACUGGGCUAACUUCGGGAAACCGGAGCUAAUACCGGAUAAUAUUUUGAACCGCAUGGUUCAAAAGUGAAAGACGGUCUUGCUGUCACUUAUAGAUGGAUCCGCGCUGCAUUAGCUAGUUGGUAAGGUAACGGCUUACCAAGGCAACGAUGCAUAGCCGACCUGAGAGGGUGAGCGGCCACACUGGAACUGAGACACGGUCCAGACUCCUACGGGAGGCAGCAGUAGGGAAUCUUCCGCAAUGGGCGAAAGCCUGACGGAGCAACGCCGCGUGAGUGAUGAAGGUCUUCGGAUCGUAAAACUCUGUUAUUAGGGAAGAACAUAUGUGUAAGUAACUGUGCACAUCUUGACGGUACCUAAUCAGAAAGCCACGGCUAACUACGUG